RNAcentral lists this ribosomal RNA (774 nucleotides) under uncultured Neocallimastigales. RNAcentral's name for it is "partial large subunit ribosomal RNA". It matches the Rfam family "Eukaryotic large subunit ribosomal RNA", at positions 24 to 649 of the family's 3401-position model. The record is from RNAcentral. Lineage: Eukaryota; Fungi; Neocallimastigomycota; Neocallimastigomycetes; Neocallimastigales.
UACGACUACAUAUCAGGCAUAUCAAUAAGCGGAGGAAAAGAAACUAACAAGGAUUCCCUUAGUAACGGCGAGUGAAGCGGGAAGAGCUCAAAUUUGAAAUCUUCAAGGUUCUACCUUGACGAAUUGUAGUUUAAAGAAGUGUUUUCUGUUAGAUGAGUAGCAAAAGUUCCUUGGAAUGGGACAUCAUAGAGGGUGAGAAUCCCGUAUUUGGUUAUUCAUUCUAGCUUUGUGAUACACUUUCAAAGAGUCGGAUUGUUUGGGAAUGCAGUCCAAAAUGGGUGGUAAAUUUCAUCUAAAGCUAAAUAUUGGCGAGAGACCGAUAGCGAACAAGUACCGUGAGGGAAAGAUGAAAAGAACUUUGAAAAGAGAGUUAAACAGUACGUGAAAUUGUCAAAAGGGAAGCGUUUGACACCAGUGUUGUUUUUCCGAAAAUCAAUUACGAAUGGCUUGAUUUUGUGUUGUAUUGACCAUAUCAGCUUUCUGCACUUUUUUCGAGUCUUUCUUAAUGCACUUUUCGGUUAACAAGUCAACAUCAAUUUCUUUUGUUGUAAAAGAGUAUUCGGAAGGUGGCUUUCUUUUCGGAGAAAGUGUUUAUAGCCCUAUACUUCUACAAUCGGAGAGAUUGAGGUCUGCAGCGUAGAUCCUUCGGGGUUAGAUACACUUGUGCUAAGUUGUAGCUUUUCAUAGACAACUUGUUGACUAUGUUUAGUCAUGCGGCUUACUCGCUUGUGCUAUUUUACCUACGCUUAGGAUGUUGAGUAGCGACAUACGCAC